GACGGAGGAUGCAAGCGUUAUCCGGAAUGAUUGGGCGUAAAGCGUCCGCAGGUGGCAGUUCAAGUCUGCUGUCAAAGACCGGGGCUUAACUUCGGAAAGGCAGUGGAAACUGAACAGCUAGAGUAUGGUAGGGGCAGAGGGAAUUCCUGGUGUAGCGGUGAAAUGCGUAGAGAUCAGGAAGUACAUCGGUGGCGAAGGCGCUCUGCUGGACCAUAACUGACACUCAGGGACGAAAGCUAGGGGAGCGAAUGGG
RNAcentral lists this ribosomal RNA (253 nucleotides) under uncultured bacterium. RNAcentral describes it as "partial 16S ribosomal RNA". It matches the Rfam family "Bacterial small subunit ribosomal RNA", at positions 524 to 776 of the family's 1533-position model. The record is from RNAcentral.